Frieseomelitta varia is the source of this 688-nucleotide long non-coding RNA. RefSeq lists it as uncharacterized. The record is from RefSeq and is a predicted model, not a curated record. The transcript is spliced from 4 exons. NCBI's taxonomy places the organism in Eukaryota, Metazoa, Arthropoda, Insecta, Hymenoptera, Apidae.
UCCCCACCACAAUCACCUGUUGAAUAUGUGUGUGUAUAUACUUGUAUAUACUAUGUGUAUAGUUGAAUAAAUACGAUUCAGUCAGACAUAAUAAUGGACAAGGAUUUUGGUUCUAAUUCCAUUGCUUGAUUGGAAUUUUAUAUUAUUUGUUUUACAUAUUUUGGCAGCUAAAGAAGCAGCAUCAUAUCCCAAACCAAGUUCACCGGGUGGACCUGGAGGUCCUGGAGGACCAGGAGGACCAGGUGGACCAUGACGACCUUCUUCACCUGGAGGACCUUUUGGUCCUGGAUUACCAGUUAGUCCAAUUAUUCCAGGAUUACCAUCUCGUCCAGGACUACCUCUAAGUCCAGGUUCACCAUCUUUGCCAGGUAAACCAGGAGGACCGGGCAAUCCUGUCUGUCCUACCGCUCCUGGUGGUCCUUUAUCUCCAAGACGACCUGCUAUUCCAGGUGGUCCAGGUUUACCAGUUGGACCUUCUGCUCCAAUUUCUCCUGGUGGUCCAGGUGGUCCAAUUGGUCCAAUUUGUCCAGGUGGUCCAGGUGGACCUUCUGUUCCAGGUUUCCCAGGAUAUACCUGAAAACCUCUAGGACCUGGAGACCCUGGAGCUCCCCGUUCCCCAUCUGUUCCUGAUGGUCCAGGUGAACCUUGAGGACCUGGGGCUCCUUCUUUUCCUGUAUCACCUCUAGGA